Molecule: long non-coding RNA, 805 nt
Filed under: Equus asinus (donkey)
Lineage: Eukaryota; Metazoa; Chordata; Mammalia; Perissodactyla; Equidae
Description: lncRNA (ENSEASG00005038222.1)
Source: RNAcentral
UUUUCUAGCUUUGUUUUUCAUAUAGAGGUCAAUCUGUAGAUUAUUUUGGAUUGUCUAUAUAUAUGUGUAUGUGUAUAUAUAUAAACAUAGCACCUAUUUAUUGAUAUUUUAACUUUCUAAUCUUUAUACAUUUUGAAUUCCUGAGAUAGAACCAAUUUUGUCAUAACGCCACUAAUUAUGUGGCACCAUCAUGGGCCACUAAUUCAAUGGUGCCCUUGUCAAACGAGGAAUUUGGAGACAGACACACCUGAGCAGGGAGAAAGCCAAUGGGCAGGUGAAGGCAGAGAGCUGGGGCUGCAGCUACAAGUCAGGACCAACAAAGAUUGCGAUAAACCACCAGAAGCCCAGAGAGAGGCACAGAAGAAAUUCUUCCUCACAGCCGUCGGGAGAAACCAUCUCUGCCCAACCUGUGGAACAAUCAGCCUGUCACUUAUUGACCUUAAAAAUAAAACAACCAGUUACUUUACCAGCAAAAUGGAUUUAUUUGGGAAUCGCAAAAAUUUGCAGUUAAGGACAAGCAAGCUAUGGCAAAACCACAGGGAAGUUUAGCAAAUGAAGAGAGGAAUGUCACUUUGUAGAAGAAAAGAAAGUUGGGAGGGACAGAGUUUCACGGAUGCUACAUGAGACUCCUGAGUUGGAGACACAAGACUUUCUCACUUGUGGCACAGCAGGCAAAUGAGCUGCCUGUUUGCAUCGGUUCCUCGUGCCCCUACAGUUUCAUAGGAGCAACGUGGAGUGGCCGAGAAAGAAGAUUCACCACAAUUUUCAAAGGAGAAAAGGGGAGUUGUGCGGAAGUGGAUAUUCC